Molecule: ribosomal RNA, 898 nt
Filed under: uncultured bacterium
Lineage: Bacteria
Description: bacterial SSU rRNA
Rfam family: Bacterial small subunit ribosomal RNA
Source: RNAcentral
UCGCCCUUAGAGUUUGAUCCUGCUCAGAUUGAACGCUGGCGGCAUGCCUUACACAUGCAAGUCGAACGGCAGCAUGAUCUAGCUUGCUAGAUUGAUGGCGAGUGGCGAACGGGUGAGUAAUACAUCGGAACGUGCCCUGUAGUGGGGGAUAACUAGUCGAAAGAUUAGCUAAUACCGCAUACGACCUGAGGGUGAAAGUGGGGGACCGCAAGGCCUCAUGCUAUAGGAGCGGCCGAUGUCUGAUUAGCUAGUUGGUGAGGUAAAGGCUCACCAAGGCGACGAUCAGUAGCUGGUCUGAGAGGACGAUCAGCCACACUGGGACUGAGACACGGCCCAGACUCCUACGGGAGGCAGCAGUGGGGAAUUUUGGACAAUGGGCGAAAGCCUGAUCCAGCAAUGCCGCGUGUGUGAAGAAGGCCUUCGGGUUGUAAAGCACUUUUGUCCGGAAAGAAAUGGCUCUGGUUAAUACCUGGGGUCGAUGACGGUACCGGAAGAAUAAGGACCGGCUAACUACGUGCCAGCAGCCGCGGUAAUACGUAGGGUCCAAGCGUUAAUCGGAAUUACUGGGCGUAAAGCGUGCGCAGGCGGUUGUGCAAGACCGAUGUGAAAUCCCCGAGCUUAACUUGGGAAUUGCAUUGGUGACUGCACGGCUAGAGUGUGUCAGAGGGGGGUAGAAUUCCACGUGUAGCAGUGAAAUGCGUAGAGAUGUGGAGGAAUACCGAUGGCGAAGGCAGCCCCCUGGGAUAACACUGACGCUCAUGCACGAAAGCGUGGGGAGCAAACAGGAUUAGAUACCCUGGUAGUCCACGCCCUAAACGAUGUCAACUAGUUGUUGGGGAUUCAUUUCCUUAGUAACGUAGCUAACGCGUGAAGUUGACCGCCUGGGGAGUACGGUCGC